This 96-nucleotide non-coding RNA is filed under the name Cellulosilyticum lentocellum. Its description in RNAcentral is "Clostridium lentocellum Glycine sequence". It matches the Rfam family "Glycine riboswitch aptamer". Rfam says of the family: This family represents the bacterial glycine riboswitch. Glycine riboswitches usually consist of two metabolite-binding aptamers domains with similar structures in tandem. The aptamers cooperatively bind glycine to regulate the expression of downstream genes. Lineage: Bacteria; Bacillati; Bacillota; Clostridia; Lachnospirales; Cellulosilyticaceae. The record is from RNAcentral.
GGACGUAAAUCUGGAGAGCGUGUCUGCGUAGAAUUGACACCACCGACGAGGAAAACCAAUAGGUAAGCUUUCAGGUAAAAGGACAGAGGAUAAAAG